GUCUACGAUCAUACCACCCUGAACAUGCCCUGUCUUGUCUGUUCUCAGAAGCUAAGCAGGGUCAGGCCUCAUUAGUACUUGGAUGGGAGACCGCCUAGGAACAGUGGGUGCUGUAGGCU
Molecule: ribosomal RNA, 119 nt
Filed under: Callithrix jacchus (white-tufted-ear marmoset)
Lineage: Eukaryota; Metazoa; Chordata; Mammalia; Primates; Cebidae
Source: RNAcentral